CAGUCGCCACGGUAAUACAGAGGGUGCGAGCGUUAAUCGGAUUUACUGGGCGUAAAGCGUGCGUAGGCGGCUUUUUAAGUCGGAUGUGAAAUCCCUGAGCUUAACUUAGGAAUUGCAUUCGAUACUGGGAAGCUAGAGUAUGGGAGAGGAUGGUAGAAUUCCAGGUGUAGCGGUGAAAUGCGUAGAGAUCUGGAGGAAUACCGAUGGCGAAGGCAGCCAUCUGGCCUAAUACUGACGCUGAGGUACGAAAGCAUGGGGAGCAAACAGGAUUAGAUACCCCGUAGUCCCUGUCUCUUAUACA
This 301-nucleotide ribosomal RNA is filed under the name uncultured bacterium. Its description in RNAcentral is "partial 16S ribosomal RNA". It matches the Rfam family "Bacterial small subunit ribosomal RNA", at positions 509 to 808 of the family's 1533-position model. The record is from RNAcentral.